CGCCAGACUCCUACGGGAGGCAGCAGUGAGGAAUAUUGGUCAAUGGCCGGAAGGCUGAACCAGCCAAGCCGCGUGAAGGACGACGGCCCUACGGGUUGUAAACCUCUUUUGUCGGGGAGCAAAUUCCGUUACGUGUAACGGAGUCGAGAGUACCCGAAGAAAAAGCAUCGGCUAACUCCGUGCCAGCAGCCGCGGUAAUACGGAGGAUGCGAGCGUUAGCCGGAUUUAUUGGGUUUAAAGGGAGCGUAGGCCGGUCUUUAAGCGUGCCGUGAAAUUUGGUGGCUCAACCAGGAGAGUGCGGCGCGAACUGGAGACCUUGAGUGCGCGGAAGGCAGGCGGAAUUCGUGGUGUAGCGGUGAAAUGCUUAGAUAUCACGAAGAACCCCGAUUGCGAAGGCAGCCUGCCGCAGCGUUACUGACGCUGAAGCUCGAAAGCGCGGGUAUCGAACAGGAUUAGAUACCCGCGUA
Molecule: ribosomal RNA, 467 nt
Filed under: uncultured bacterium
Lineage: Bacteria
Description: bacterial SSU rRNA
Rfam family: Bacterial small subunit ribosomal RNA
Source: RNAcentral